UACGGAGGGUGCAAGCAUUAAUCGGAUUUAUUGGGCGUAAAGGGCGCGUAGGCGGGAUAUUAAGUCGGGUGUGAAAUCCCAGAGCUCAACUCUGGAACUGCAUUCGAAACUGAUAUUCUUGAGGGUAGGCGGAGAAAAUGGAAUUCCACAAGUAGCGGUGAAAUGCGUAGAUAUGUGGAAGAACACCAGUGGCGAAGGCGAUUUUCUAGCUUAUACCUGACGCUAAAGCGCGAAAGCAAGGGGAGCAAAC
RNAcentral lists this ribosomal RNA (250 nucleotides) under uncultured bacterium. RNAcentral's name for it is "partial 16S ribosomal RNA". It matches the Rfam family "Bacterial small subunit ribosomal RNA", at positions 524 to 773 of the family's 1533-position model. The record is from RNAcentral.